UACAGAGGUGGCAAGCGUUGUUCGGAAUUACUGGGCGUAAAGGGCGCGUAGGCGGCCUUCUAAGUCAGACGUGAAAUCCCCCGGCUUAACCUGGGAACUGCGUCUGAUACUGGAAGGCUUGAGUGCGGGAGAGGGAUGUGGAAUUCCAGGGGUAGCGGUGAAAUGCGUAGAUAUCUGGAGGAACACCGGUGGCGAAGGCGGCAUCCUGGACCGACACUGACGCUGAGGCGCGAAAGCUAGGGUAGCAAACGGG
This 253-nucleotide ribosomal RNA is filed under the name uncultured bacterium. Its description in RNAcentral is "partial 16S ribosomal RNA". It matches the Rfam family "Bacterial small subunit ribosomal RNA", at positions 524 to 776 of the family's 1533-position model. The record is from RNAcentral.